This is a long non-coding RNA of Gastrolobium bilobum, 283 nucleotides long. RefSeq lists it as uncharacterized. The record is from RefSeq and is a predicted model, not a curated record. NCBI's taxonomy places the organism in Eukaryota, Viridiplantae, Streptophyta, Magnoliopsida, Fabales, Fabaceae. The transcript has 3 exons.
UCCUUAGGCACCAGAGAAGGAUUGCAAAAUCGGCUAUGCAGGAUUAAUUGGUAAUUGGAUAAGCUUCCAGGUGGGGUGUUUAACCUUUGUGGCUCAACCUGAACAUGAAAAAGCGAAAACUACAAAAGAUGUGAGAACGAAGGAAGUUCUUUGCGCUCUAAUGUCAGUAUAGAGAAAUGGUGAAAUAAUAGUAUUACAAUAAUGUAAUCUGAGCAGUGACAUAAGAUAGCCGAAACGAGAAAAGCAAUAGCUAGCUGCAACCUAUAUCAAAGUACAUCAAAUU